CAACGUCUUCUUUUUUCUAAAAUCUUCAUUUUUCAGCUCCAAAAAAGGCCAAAUAAAAAACCAUCAUAAACGUCGAACUUCACCCAUGGAGGGCUCCGCGCAGACUGAGCUCCGCAGAGCGGGGAAGGACACAGAGCACUCUGAUUGGCUUAAACCCACCAAUCAGAAUGUUCUUAGCUUAAUUGCAGGGCGGGGCAAGGCUUUAUAAGCCUUCCCCCUGCGGAGCCAAGACUGCGCGGAGCCCUUCAUGGGUGAAGAUGGAUUAUUUUUUUGCGCUCUGUUUUUUUCUUUUUCGUCAGGGUUUUUUAUUUUUGCGCUCGGGAUUUUUAUUUUAUUUUAAGUUCGACGGUUAUGAUGGUUUUUUAUUUGGCCUUUUUUGGAGCUGAAAAAUGAAGAUUUUAGAAAAAAGAAGACAUCGUAAGG
Pelobates cultripes (western spadefoot toad) is the source of this 423-nucleotide non-coding RNA. Lineage: Eukaryota; Metazoa; Chordata; Amphibia; Anura; Pelobatidae. The record is from the annotation of a GenBank genome assembly.